Molecule: ribosomal RNA, 138 nt
Filed under: Pseudomonas sp. 4.60.71
Lineage: Bacteria; Pseudomonadati; Pseudomonadota; Gammaproteobacteria; Pseudomonadales; Pseudomonadaceae
Description: partial 16S ribosomal RNA
Rfam family: Bacterial small subunit ribosomal RNA
Source: RNAcentral
AACACAUGCAAGUCNAGCGGAUGAAGAGAGCUUGCUCUCUGAUUCAGCGGNGGACGGGUGAGUAAUGCCUAGGAAUCUGCCUGGUAAUGGGGGACAACGUCUCNAAAGGGACGCUAAUACCGCAUACGUCCUANGGGA